GUCUGAUGCAGCAACGCCGCGUGGAGGAUGACACAUUUCGGUGCGUAAACUCCUUUUAUAUGAGAAGAUAAUGACGGUAUUAUAUGAAUAAGCACCGGCUAACUCCGUGCCAGCAGCCGCGGUAAUACGGGGGGUGCAAGCGUUACUCGGAAUCACUGGGCGUAAAGAGCAUGUAGGCGGAUUAAUAAGUUUGAAGUGAAAUCCUAUAGCUUAACUAUAGAACUGCUUUGAAAACUGUUAAUCUAGAAUGUGGGAGAGGUAGAUGGAAUUUCUGGUGUAGGGGUAAAAUCCGUAGAGAUCAGAAGGAAUACCGAUUGCGAAGGCGAUCUACUGGAACAUUAUUGACGCUGAGAUGCGAAAGCGUGGGGAGCAAACAGGAUUAGAUACCCUGGUAGUCCACGCCCUAAACGAUGUACACUAGUUGUUGUGAGACUUGAUCUUGCAGUAAUGCAGUUAACACAUUAAGUGUACCGCC
RNAcentral lists this ribosomal RNA (475 nucleotides) under uncultured Arcobacter sp. RNAcentral describes it as "bacterial SSU rRNA". It matches the Rfam family "Bacterial small subunit ribosomal RNA", at positions 381 to 873 of the family's 1533-position model. Lineage: Bacteria; Pseudomonadati; Campylobacterota; Epsilonproteobacteria; Campylobacterales; Arcobacteraceae. The record is from RNAcentral.